Molecule: ribosomal RNA, 414 nt
Filed under: uncultured microorganism
Description: bacterial SSU rRNA
Rfam family: Archaeal small subunit ribosomal RNA
Source: RNAcentral
CAGCCGCCGCGGUAACACCGGCGGCUCGAGUGGUGGCCACUUUUAUUGGGUCUAAAGCGUCCGUAGCCGGCUUGGCAAGUCCCCUGGGAAAUCUGGCGGCUUAACCGUCAGGCGUCCAGAGGAUACUGCCAGGCUUGGGACCGGGAGAGGUGAGAGGUACCUCAGGGGUAGGGGUGAAAUCUUGUGAUCCCUGAGGGACCACCAGUGGCGAAGGCGUCUCACUAGAACGGGUCCGACGGUCAGGGACGAAAGCUGGGGGCACGAACCGGAUUAGAUACCCGGGUAGUCCCAGCCGUAAACGAUGCUCGCGAGGUGUCAGGCAUGGCAUGACGGUGCCUGGUGCCGAAGGGAAGCCGUGAAGCGAGCCACCUGGGAAGUACGGCCGCAAGGCUGAAACUUAAAGGAAUUGGCGGG